UCCCGUGUGGCUCAGUUGGUAGAGCAUGGUGUUUGCAACGCCAGGGUUGUGGGUUUGAUUCCCACGAGGGAC
RNAcentral lists this transfer RNA (72 nucleotides) under Salmo salar (Atlantic salmon). It matches the Rfam family "tRNA". Rfam says of the family: Transfer RNA (tRNA) molecules are approximately 80 nucleotides in length. Lineage: Eukaryota; Metazoa; Chordata; Actinopteri; Salmoniformes; Salmonidae. The record is from Rfam by way of RNAcentral. RNAcentral also lists the same sequence under 1 other name.